CAGCCGCGUAAUUCCAGCUCCAAUAGCGUAUAUUAAAGUUGCUGCAGUUAAAAAGCUCGUAGUUGAAUUUCGGGACCAUCAUGUCGGUCGUGCCUCGGUACGUACUGGUAUUGUUGGUUUCUCCCUUCUGACGAACCAUGAUGUCAUUUAUUUGGUGUUGUGGGAAAUCAGGACUGUUACUUUGAAAAAAUUAGAGUGUUUAAAGCAGGCUCACGCUUGAAUACAUUAGCAUGGAAUAAUGAAAUAGGACGUUUGAUUCUAUUUUGUUGGUUUCUAGGAUCGACGUAAUGAUUAAUAGGGAUAGUUGGGGGCAUUAGUAUUCAAUUGUCAGAGGUGAAAUUCUUGGAUUUAUUGAAGACUAACUACUGCGAAAGCAUUUGCCAAGGAUGUUUUCAUUAAUCAAGAACGAAAGUUAGGGGAUCGAAGACGAUCAGAUACCGUCGUAGUCUUAACCAUAAACUAUGCCGACUAGGGAUCGGAUGAUGUUAAUUUUUUAAUGACUCAUUCGGCGCCUUACG
This 518-nucleotide unclassified non-coding RNA is filed under the name uncultured Glomeromycotina. Its description in RNAcentral is "SSU rRNA". It matches the Rfam family "Eukaryotic small subunit ribosomal RNA", at positions 571 to 1092 of the family's 1831-position model. Lineage: Eukaryota; Fungi; Glomeromycota. The record is from RNAcentral.